This 439-nucleotide ribosomal RNA is filed under the name uncultured archaeon. Its description in RNAcentral is "bacterial SSU rRNA". It matches the Rfam family "Bacterial small subunit ribosomal RNA", at positions 948 to 1384 of the family's 1533-position model. The record is from RNAcentral.
AAUUCGACGCAACGCGAAGAACCUUACCUGGGCUCGAAAUGCUACGGACCAGCUUAUGAAAGUAGGCCUUCCCGCAAGGGACCGUAGUAUAGGUGCCGCAUGGCUGUCGUCAGCUCGUGUCGUGAGAUGUUGGGUUAAGUCCCGCAACGAGCGCAACCCUUGUCCUGUGUUGCCAUACUGUAAAAAGUGGAACUCGCAGGAGACCGCCAGGGAUAACCUGGAGGAAGGUGGGGAUGACGUCAAGUCCUCAUGGCCUUUAUGUCCAGGGCUACACACGUGCUACAAUGGACGGUACAAAGGGCUGCCAACCCGCGAGGGGGAGCCAAUCCCAAAAAACCGUUCUCAGUUCGGAUUGCAGGCUGCAACUCGCCUGCAUGAAGCUGGAAUCGCUAGUAAUGGCGGAUCAGAACGCCGCCGUGAAUACGUUCCCGGGCCUUGU